UGUAAAAACUACAUGGCUGUGGGAGAUGUUCAUAUCCUGGAGCAGCAUGAAGAACCAUCUGUGAAAGAGAUCCAGGAAGAUAAAACCGAUAAGCUAAUGGUUCCGAAGAAAUGGGUUUUGUUUCUCUCCCAAAUAAAUGCCCUGCAAGUACAUGCAAUGCACUGCCAGGAGCUGCUUGAAAAGCUGUUUCUUCCAACUCAUGAGUGCCUACAUAGUGGGCCAGAAAUUUCCGUAGAACACGUGCACGGUCGCCUUUGUUUCUCUCCCAAAUACAUGCCCUGCAAGUACAUGCAAUGCACUGCCAGGAGCUGCUUGAAAAGCUGUUUCUUCCAACUCAUGAGUGCCUACAUAGUGGGCCAGAAAUUUCCGU
RNAcentral lists this long non-coding RNA (370 nucleotides) under Nicotiana benthamiana. Its description in RNAcentral is "long non-coding RNA (NBEN_LNC019910)". Lineage: Eukaryota; Viridiplantae; Streptophyta; Magnoliopsida; Solanales; Solanaceae. The record is from RNAcentral.